UGCCUUUUGAUCACCAAAUAAAAGGUAACUCCUGCCCAGUGAAAACUUUCAACGGCCGCGGUAUCCUAACCGUGCAAAGGUAGCAUAAUCACUUGUCUAUUAAUUGUAGACUAGAAUGAAAGGAUAAACGAAAUAAGCUCUGUCUCGCCUAGUUUUAUAAAAAUUAUACUUUAGAUGAAGAUAUCUAAAUAACAUCGAAGGACAAGAAGACCCUAUAGAGCUUUAUUUAAAAAGAGAUCUAAGCUCUUUCGAAGAUUCGGUUGGGGCGACCAAGGAAUUAGAAAUCAUCCUUUACUAAAAAGAUUCAUUAAUCCUAUUCGUGACCCUUUUAAGAUCACAAAAACAAGCUACCUUAGGGAUAACAGGCUAAUCCUACUUAAGAGUUCUUAUCUAUAGUGGGGUUUGGCACCUCGAUGUUGGCUUAGGGCAUCCUUGUGGCGCAAAAGUCACAAUAAGAUGGUUUGUUCAACCUUUAAUCCCCU
This 482-nucleotide ribosomal RNA is filed under the name Glyphidrilus horsti. RNAcentral describes it as "partial 16S ribosomal RNA". It matches the Rfam family "Bacterial large subunit ribosomal RNA", at positions 1816 to 2597 of the family's 2925-position model. Lineage: Eukaryota; Metazoa; Annelida; Clitellata; Crassiclitellata; Almidae. RNAcentral also lists the same sequence under 3 other names. The record is from RNAcentral.